AGGGCACCACCAGGAGUGGAGCCUGCGGCUUAAUUUGACUCAACACGGGAAAUCUCACCAGGCCCGGACACCGGAAGGAUUGACAGAUUGAGAGCUCUUUCUUGAUUCGGUGGGUGGUGGUGCAUGGCCGUUCUUAGUUGGUGGAGCGAUUUGUCUGGUUAAUUCCGAUAACGAACGAGACUCUGGCCUAUUAACUAGACGUUAGAUCCUUUAUGGGUUUGACGAUGCUUCUUAGAGGGACGGGCGGCUUUUAGCCGCACGAGAAUGAGCAAUAACAGGUCUGUGAUGCCCUUAGAUGUUCUGGGCUGCACGCGCGCUACACUGAAGAAAUCCGCGUGUGUUCCCUAUCCGAAAGGAUUGGGAAACCCGUUGAACCUUCUUCGUGAUGGGGAUUGGGGGAUUGCAAUUAUUCCCCAUGAACGAGGAAUUCCCAGUAGGCGCGAGUCAUAAGCUUGCGUCGAUUACGUCCCUGCCCUUUGUACACACCGCCCGUCGCUACUACCGAUCGAGUGAUUUAGU
RNAcentral lists this ribosomal RNA (519 nucleotides) under uncultured eukaryote. Its description in RNAcentral is "SSU rRNA". It matches the Rfam family "Eukaryotic small subunit ribosomal RNA", at positions 1161 to 1702 of the family's 1831-position model. The record is from RNAcentral.